AUUGAACGCUGGCGGCAGGCUUAACACAUGCAAGUCGAGCGGAGAGAGGUAGCUUGCUACUGAUCUUAGCGGCGGACGGGUGAGUAAUGCUUAGGAAUCUGCCUAUUAGUGGGGGACAACAUUUCGAAAGGAAUGCUAAUACCGCAUACGUCCUACGGGAGAAAGCAGGGGAUCUUCGGACCUUGCGCUAAUAGAUGAGCCUAAGUCGGAUUAGCUAGUUGGUGGGGUAAAGGCCUACCAAGGCGACGAUCUGUAGCGGGUCUGAGAGGAUGAACCGCCACACUGGGACUGAGACACGGCCCAGACUCCUACGGGAGGUAGCAGUGGGGAAUAUUGGACAAUGGGCGGAAGCCUGAUCCAGCCAUGCCGCGUGUGUGAAGAAGGCCUUAUGGUUGUAAAGCACUUUAAGCGAGGAGGAGGCUACUUUAGUUAAUACCUAGAGGUAAUGGACGUUACUCGCAGAAUAAGCACCGGCUAACUCUGUGCCAGCCGCCGCAGUAA
RNAcentral lists this ribosomal RNA (501 nucleotides) under uncultured bacterium. RNAcentral describes it as "partial 16S ribosomal RNA". It matches the Rfam family "Bacterial small subunit ribosomal RNA", at positions 30 to 523 of the family's 1533-position model. The record is from RNAcentral.